Molecule: ribosomal RNA, 855 nt
Filed under: uncultured bacterium
Lineage: Bacteria
Description: bacterial SSU rRNA
Rfam family: Bacterial small subunit ribosomal RNA
Source: RNAcentral
AGAGUUUGAUCCUGGCUCAGGAUGAACGCUGGCGGUAUGCCUUAUACAUGCAAGUCGUACGAGAGUUUUUAACUCUAGUGGCGGACGGGUGAGUAACACGUAAGAAUUUGCCUUUAGGAGGGGGACAACAACUGGAAACGGUUGCUAAUACCCCAUAUGCUUUCGAGUGAAAUGGAUUUCCGCCUAAAGAGAAGCUUGCGGCUGAUUAGCUUGUUGGUAGGGUAAUGGCCUACCAAGGCGACGAUCAGUAUCUGGUUUGAGAGGACGAUCAGACACACUGGAACUGAGACACGGUCCAGACUCCUACGGGAGGCAGCAGUAGGGAAUUUUCCGCAAUGGGCGAAAGCCUGACGGAGCAAUACCGCGUGAGGGAUGACUGCCUAUGGGUUGUAAACCUCUUUUUUCAGGGAGGAAUAAAUGACGUGUACCUGAAGAAUAAGCAUCGGCUAACUCCGUGCCAGCAGCCGCGGUAAGACGGAGGAUGCAAGUGUUAUCCGGAAUCACUGGGCGUAAAGCGUCUGUAGGUGGCUCGACAAGUCAACUGUUAAAUCUUGAAGCUCAACUUCGAAAUCGCAGUCGAAACUAUCGAACUAGAGUAUAGUAGAGGUAAAGGGAAUUUCCAGUGGAGCGGUGAAAUGCGUAGAGAUUGGAAAGAACACCGAUGGCGAAGGCACUUUACUGGGCUAUUACUGACACUCAGAGACGAAAGCUAGGGUAGCAAAUGGGAUUAGAUACCCCAGUAGUCCUAGCCGUAAACAAUGGAUACUAGGUGUUGAACAGAUCGACCUGUGCAGUACCAAAGCUAACGCGUUAAGUAUCCCGCCUGGGAAGUAUGCACGCAAGUGUGAAACUCAA